AUGUUUCUUUGCGAGUGUUGGUGAUACAUUGGACAAGACCCCAAGACCGGCGCCGAACAAAAGCAUUCAACCUUUUGGAUUCGUGUCCACCGGGAGUUUCAUGAGCGCAAGAAGUUUCCGCCUUACCAAACUGUGAGCACGCACGGGUGGGUGUCCAUUUCGAAGCGUUGGAGGGUGAUCCAACAAGAGUGCAAAAAGUUUUGUGCCACCCUUGAGAGCGUCAAGGCCCGCCCCGUGAGCAGCAUCGGCAUGCAAGACAUGGUAUGGUAG
Molecule: ribosomal RNA, 270 nt
Filed under: Triticum aestivum (bread wheat)
Lineage: Eukaryota; Viridiplantae; Streptophyta; Magnoliopsida; Poales; Poaceae
Description: partial small subunit ribosomal RNA
Source: RNAcentral